UGAAGCUUUAGAAAAUAGAGAGGGAGAAAGAUAGUUCAAAUAGAAGGGUGUUUUAUUUGGGUUCCAUCACAUAGUUAUUGUGGUGAAGUAAUUUGAGUUUGUACUCAAAUUAAGAUAUCUUUGUAUUCUCUCAUAUUAUUCUAGUGAAUUUUUUGGAGAUCGUCCCGUGAUUUUUACCUCUUAGUUUUAGAGGGUUUUCCACGUAAAAAUUCUUGGUGUCUCGUGGUUUGAUAAUCUUGGUGUCUCUUUGUUUGUUUUUCUUUCUUAUUAUUCAUUUAAUUUAUCAACAACAACAGUCUUUGGGUGGUGUUUUUCCCAACAACUGGUAUCAAAGCUAAGGUUAUUUGCUUGGUUGUUUUUGAUAAAUUUUAUGGAGGAAUCAGUCGGAGCCAU
Molecule: long non-coding RNA, 393 nt
Filed under: Panax ginseng (ginseng)
Lineage: Eukaryota; Viridiplantae; Streptophyta; Magnoliopsida; Apiales; Araliaceae
Description: long non-coding RNA (PGIN_LNC010621)
Source: RNAcentral